RNAcentral lists this unclassified non-coding RNA (337 nucleotides) under soil metagenome. RNAcentral's name for it is "partial contains 5.8S ribosomal RNA, internal transcribed spacer 2, and large subunit ribosomal RNA". The stretch from base 1 to 120 matches the Rfam family "5.8S ribosomal RNA", at positions 35 to 154 of the family's 154-position model. The record is from RNAcentral.
GAUGAAGAACGCAGUGAAAUGCGAUAAGUAGUGUGAAUUGCAGAAUUCAGUGAAUCAUCGAAUCUUUGAACGCACAUUGCGCCCCUUGGUAUUCCAUGGGGCAUGCCUGUUCGAGCGUCAUUUGUACCCUCAAGCUUUGCUUGGUGUUGGGUGUUUGUCCCGCGUUGCGCGUGGACUCGCCUUAAAGCGAUUGGCAGCCGGCAUAUUGGCCUUGGAGCGCAGCACAUUUUGCGCUUCUAGUCAUGAAUGUUGGCGUCCAUUAAGCCUAUACAUUUGCUCUUGACCUCGGAUCAGGUAGGGAUACCCGCUGAACUUAAGCAUAUCAAUAAGCGGAGGA